Rhinichthys klamathensis goyatoka is the source of this 308-nucleotide long non-coding RNA. RefSeq lists it as uncharacterized. The record is from RefSeq and is a predicted model, not a curated record. The transcript has 3 exons. Lineage: Eukaryota; Metazoa; Chordata; Actinopteri; Cypriniformes; Leuciscidae.
GUUCCACAGGAAACACCACAGGAAAAGUGAACGACAGCAACUUCAAGCAAGAGAUAGGCCUAAAUCUGAAAAAUCCUUGUUUUCAAGACUCUUCUCUAAUGCCGUAAUGGCAUCUUUUAAUAUGAAGGGGAGGGGGCAAAACGGCAAGAGGCCUUUCGGAAACACAAAAAUAUACAGAGCACUACAAGAUGGAGUUAUGAAGUUCGACCAAACUGCUACGGAGGACUCCAUUAGAACUUUCACCUCAGAACACCUUAAACACGCACCACAAAGAAGUGGAAAGUUCACUACUCCACAUAGUCACUGAU